Molecule: ribosomal RNA, 700 nt
Filed under: uncultured bacterium
Lineage: Bacteria
Description: bacterial SSU rRNA
Rfam family: Bacterial small subunit ribosomal RNA
Source: RNAcentral
UCAGGCCUAACACAUGCAAGUCGAGCGGUAGCAGGAAGUGCUUGCACUUCGCUGACGAGCGGCGGACGGGUGCGUAACACGUAGGAAUCUGCCUGGUAGUGGGGGAUAGCCCGGAGAAAUCCGGAUUAAUACCGCAUACGCCCUAAGGGGGAAAGGAGGGGAUCUUCGGACCUUUCGCUAUCAGAUGAGCCUGCGUCGGAUUAGCUUGUUGGUGGGGUAAAGGCCUACCAAGGCGACGAUCCGUAGCUGGUCUGAGAGGAUGAUCAGCCACACUGGGACUGAGACACGGCCCAGACUCCUACGGGAGGCAGCAGUGGGGAAUAUUGCACAAUGGGCGAAAGCCUGAUGCAGCCAUGCCGCGUGUGUGAAGAAGGCCCUAGGGUUGUAAAGCACUUUCAGUGGGGAGGAAAGGUUGAAGGUUAAUACCCUUCAGCUGUGACGUUACCCACAGAAGAAGCACCGGCUAACUCCGUGCCAGCAGCCGCGGUAAUACGGAGGGUGCGAGCGUUAAUCGGAAUUACUGGGCGUAAAGCGUGCGUAGGCGGCCACCUAAGUUGGAUGUGAAAGCCCCGGGCUCAACCUGGGAACUGCAUCCAAAACUGGGUGGCUAGAGUACGGGAGAGGAGUGUGGAAUUUCCUGUGUAGCGGUGAAAUGCGUAGAUAUAGGAAGGAACACCAGUGGCGAAGGCGACACUCUGGC